Molecule: long non-coding RNA, 3325 nt
Filed under: Zea mays
Lineage: Eukaryota; Viridiplantae; Streptophyta; Magnoliopsida; Poales; Poaceae
Description: long non-coding RNA (ZMAY_LNC002231)
Source: RNAcentral
GGAAGUCCUUGCCUAGCCUAGAGUUGGUUGGGUGUGGCUAGUCACCUAUUCCUAGAUCAUGUGGUGUUUACAUCAGCUUAAUAUGUUUGUCAAAUGUGUGAAGGAUUAGGGGUUAUUAUUAUUGACUUUGUAUGUCUGGUACUUUGAGUGCAUCGUAUGAUAGAAUGAAAUGUAAGUUUCUGAACUACAGUAGAUGAAGACUUAUAUUAUGUGUAGGUUAUCAUUACUAGUUGGAUAUUUUUCUUAGUUGAGAUGUUGAAUGAAGUAUAGUGACAUGGGUUAAGCAAGUAUUGUGUUGUUGUUGGGCUAUCAGUGCUCUAUGUAGAGUUUUUGGCAUUUCUUCGAUGAACUAUGCCGCACAAGAUGUUAUUGGCUUCUUUUGGCUUUAUUGCUCCAUUAGUUCUAUAGAUUUUCUCCCUUUUGGUGGGGUGCAAGGAAUGUUAGAUUACAUGAUUAUCUUUUCAUGAUGGCAAGAAUAAGGUUUAGGAAGAUUAGGAGUUUUGUUCCAAUGGAACUACUUGUUUCAUAGUGCUUUAAGGUGAGGUGUUUGAUCUUCUUAUACAUUCAUCGGGUGUAGAUGUUUCACCAUUUAAUUAAAAUUAAUGGUUGAAGUUGGUAAGGGUUGUGCUUGGUGCAUAUUACCCCUUCAUAAAAGAGUGUUGUCUUAAGACAUUGAUGUUGAUGUAUAGCUGCAUCCAAAUUUGAUGGUGUGAAAUUGGAGUGUUGAUUGCAACUAUGACAUGCUUUGAGCUUCAUUACAUGUUCUUUCAUGCUUGAUGUCAGGUCGUGUAGUUUCCUUAGACAAUUAGUCCAAGGUAGAAGUUCUUGUGUUAAUUAAGACCAAUAAUGGACCCAUGUUUUGAAUUGUGGUGCUAUAUGGGGUACCUUGGGUGUUUUGCUUGGAGUGGCCGAAUUCGAGGUCGAAUUCUUUUUAAGGGGGGUAGAGUGUAAUAUCCCAAAAAAAAUGUUGACCAAAAGUUAAUCUCUGGUGCGUGGAUGAGGUAAAGGGUUGUGGGCCAUUGGAUGCAAAGAUAGAAGUCAUCUGAGGCGUUGUUUCUUUCUCCCACAAAAACCCUAGGUGGCCACCCCUUUUUUUCCCUUCACCCCCCCUCUUGGCCGCCACCCCCUUUUUCUCCCCCUUGGCUGGACGCCCCCUCCCCCUAUGGCAGCCAUCCUCCAUUGCUUCCUCCCCCAAGAUCUCCCCCUACGCAGCAAGGAUCGAGAAAAGGAGGGGCACGUUGAAUUGAAGAGGAAGAGAGGAUCAAGGAGAUGUUCUUCCCCAUCUCCUCUUGAAGAUUUCUUGGGGAAACCCUAGGUAUGGAUGAGAUCCUUGUUCCUCCCUGUAAUUAUAGGCUUUUGGAGGUUGUGGAUCAUGGGAAUUAAAGGAUUAGAGGUUGGAUUUGAUGUGGGGUUAGGUUUUGAUCUCGAAUUUAGUUUUCUGCAGAAUGGCAGAUUCGACAGUUUCUGUUCAUGCCAGUUUUCCGUGGUCUUAGUGGCCUCAAAAAAAUAAAAAGUCUAUGUAUGAGUCGUAGAUAAUUUGUAGAUCUUUCCGUGGCCGCGAAGAACACCUCAAUCGGACAUCCGACCAGAAAGUUAUUGCAGUUUUACUAUAGUAGUUUUUCAGUCUCAUAAUUCUGUGCAGAAUCUGUUCUCUUAAGAUUUAGGCAAUUUUAUCAACAGAAUUAAACUGUGGGUUGGUAAAAGAAGUUGUAGAUAAUUUUAUAAGCUUUCCAGAUUGUUAAAUAGUGCAUUCAUAUGAUUUGUGAAACUCCAGUUAUGUUUGUUUUACUGUGGCUGUUCCUGUUUACCUGACAAAAAUGAGUCGGUCUGUUCACUGGUGGGUUUCAUCUAGUAAAUGGCCGAAUUGGCUCUUCCAACUAUGGAGACUUUUGUAGAGGGAUAAAAGUUCUUACUUCCAGCAGAAUUUCAUAAUUUUUGGUUCAGCAGUUUUGGAGAUAUCGAAUUUUAAAGUUAACCAUACUGCUGUCUAAAACAGAUUCAGUCAGUUAUCUUGUCAGAUGUUUUAGAACUUGUAGAUGGCAGAAUUUAAUUAUCUAUUGAAUACUGAAGUUGUAGAGUAUUUUGUGUAGAUACUCCUAGAGUAUUUGUUUGAUAUCACCGCUGUUUUAAUUUUAAAGAUACAAAAUUAACAAACAGCGUUGCUGCUGUAUGGCAUGUGGUUCAGGGUGGGAGUCUUUCCACUGGGUCUUGGUUUCAAGUGUAGGAGUGUUUUGUUGAUUGAUGGCAAAUGUUUGUGAAAUAUUUGUACUAAGUUUUAUGCCCACUAGCAGGUGGCUACACUCCAGAUCAUGUCUAGUACAUUUCUUCUUCUUCGAUGAAGGCAAGUGAAUGUAGCGGUGGUUGCUUCCGUUCUGACCUGUUAUUUCUAUCGCCUACACUCUAAUAUUCAGAAGUAUCAGAUUCUUUCAUAAUUGGACUCUAUGGUGAUGCUUUACUUGCUUGCAUUAUACUGAUGCUCAAUCAUAUAUUGAUGAUGAUUAUGAUUUGAGUAUGACUCAUGAGAUUAAUUCACACCCCUGAAGGUAAAUGAAGUAUUAUUUGAGGUUUGUGUUGUAUCUGAAGGAAGUGAAGUUUAUUGAUAAAUGUAGCAUGCCAUAUACAUUGCAUGACUUGUUUGCAUAUGAAGUUUUGUCGUGACCUAUGGUCCGACCGUACCGGUACAACUUAGCAUCGUACGUUGCCCGAGAAGGGGUACGAUGCGGCUUCAUACCCUUAGAGGUAUGAAGGCAGAGGACAUAUGCAUUGCAUUCAUAUGCAUUCAUUGAAGUGAUAUUUGCAGAUGAUGUGGUUUUAUACCCCCAGAGGUAUGAAGAUAGAGUACCUACACAUUGCAUUCCUAUGCAUACAUUGAAGUGAUAUUUGCAGGUAUUGUUGACGCAGGGAAGUGUUAUAGAACCUAUUGUGGAUUUUCGAGGAAAUGAGAUGGUAUUGGUUAUAGUGGGACUACUGAGUUCUAUAUCUACAAGCAUUUCUGAUUUUUAAUUGUGACUCUUUUAAAAUGUUGAUGAAUUCAAUUUGUGGUUUAAAUAUCUCGUCAGAACAAUUAGCUUGCUGAGAUGUUUCAUCUCACUCUUGCAUUACUCAAUGCAGGUGCUUGUUGCUCAUCAAGGGGAGUGAAAAGUAGCAGCACAUCCACCUUCAUUCUCAUAAUAAUGCUGCCCAGACGCAGCCAUGAUUUAAUUAGAAACUUCUUGUCAAAGGAUGUUUGUUUUUAACUAGUCGUGCGCACUGAUUAAUUCAGUUCAUGUUGUUAUGGUUGUCUUCCCAUUGCUAGCAGAUUAUUAAUGUCUUAUAUGUUUUCUUA